GACGAACGCUGGCGGCGUGCUUAACACAUGCAAGUCGAACGGAAAGGCCCUGCUUUUGUGGGGUGCUCGAGUGGCGAACGGGUGAGUAACACGUGAGUAUCCCGCCCUUGACUUUGUGAUAACUUCAGGAAACUGCGGCUAAUACCGGAUAGGAGCUCCUGCUGCAUGGUGGGGGUUGGAAAGUUUCGGCGGCUGGGGAUGGACUCGCGGCUUAUCAGCUUGUUGGUGGGGUAGUGGCUUACCAAGGCUUUGACGGCUAGCCGGCCUGAGAGGGUGACCGGCCACAUUGGGACUGAGAUACGGCCCAGACUCCUACGGGAGGCAGCAGUGGGGAAUAUUGCACAAUGGGCGGAAGCCUGAUGCAGAAACGCCGCGUGCGGGAUGACGGCCUUCGGGUUGUAAACCGCUUUCGCCUGUGACGAAGCGUGAGUGACGGUAAUGGGUAAAGAAGCACCGGCUAACUACGUG
Molecule: ribosomal RNA, 468 nt
Filed under: uncultured bacterium
Lineage: Bacteria
Description: partial 16S ribosomal RNA
Rfam family: Bacterial small subunit ribosomal RNA
Source: RNAcentral